RNAcentral lists this ribosomal RNA (2042 nucleotides) under Myxobolus pyramidis. RNAcentral describes it as "SSU rRNA". It matches the Rfam family "Eukaryotic small subunit ribosomal RNA". Lineage: Eukaryota; Metazoa; Cnidaria; Myxozoa; Bivalvulida; Myxobolidae. The record is from RNAcentral.
ACCUGGUUGAUCCUGCCAGUGAAACAUGCUAUUCUCAAAGACUAAGCCAUGCACGUGCCAAGUUCAUACGAUCUUAUCGUGAGACUGCGGACGGCUCAGUAUAUCAGUGAUUAUCUGUUUGAUUGUCUUACCCAUUGGAUAACCGUGGGAAAUCUAGAGCUAAUACAUGCAAUUUAUUGGCGCAGUCGCAAGAUUGUGUCAAAGCAUUUAUUAGACUUAACCAUCUACUAUGCUUCACGGCGUAGUAAGGCGAAUCUAGAUAACUUUGCUGAUCGUAUGGCCUCGUGCCGACGACGUUUCAAUUGAGUUUCUGCCCUAUCAAUUUGUUGGUAAGGUAUUGGCUUACCAAGGUUGCAACGGGUAACGGGGAAUCAGGGUUCGAUUCCGGAGAGGGAGCCUGAGAAACGGCUACCACAUCCAAGGAAGGCAGCAGGCGCGCAAAUUACCCAAUCUAGACAGUAGGAGGUGGUGAAGAGAAGUACUUAGUGGUGGCCUAAUGGUCCCAACUAGGAAUGAACGUAAUUUAAGCAAUUCGAUGAGUAACUACUGGAGGGCAAGUCCUGGUGCCAGCAGCCGCGGUAAUUCCAGCUCCAGUGGCGUGAUUUAAAGUUGCUGCGUUUAAAACGCUCGUAGUUGGAUCACGCAGUAGCACACAGUAACAAAAACCGGUACUUUUGACGAUUUUCUUUCCGAGAUUAUUGAAUUUUGUCUGGUUUGCGUGUUCACGCUGUGCGUUACUAUUUGCACACAAGUAUGGUAUUUGGCCUUUAGUGAGUCGAGUAUCAUGUCUUGUGGGGUGUGCCUUGAAUAAAACAGAGUGCUCAAAGCAGGCGAACGCUUGAAUGUUAUAGCAUGGAACGAACAAACGUGUAUUUGCGUAUACUUGAAUGGUCGAGGGCAACUUUGGCCGUUUGGGAGUACGCAGCACCCGCCAAAAUACGGAUGUUGGUUUUCGUAUCAGGUGAUGAUUAACAGGAGCGGUUGGGGGCAUUGGUAUUUGGCCGCGAGAGGUGAAAUUCUUGGACCGGCCAAGGACUAACAGAUGCGAAGGCGUUUGUCUAGACCGUUUCCAUUAAUCAAGAACGAAAGUGGGAGGUUCGAAGACGAUCAGAUACCGUCCUAGUUCCCACUAUAAACUAUGCCGACCUGGGAUCAGUUUAGUGAUUUACAAGCUCUAGGUUGGUCCCCCUGGGAAACCUCAAGUUUUUCGGUUACGGGGAGAGUAUGGUCGCAAGUCUGAAACUUAAAGGAAUUGACGGAAGGGCACCACCAGGGGUGGAGCCUGCGGCUUAAUUUGACUCAACACGGGGAAACUUACCUGGUCCGGACAUCGAAAGGAUAGACAGACUGAUAGAUCUUUCUUGAUGCGGUGAGUGGUGGUGCAUGGCCGUUCUUAGUUCGUGGAGUGAUCUGUCAGGUUUAUUCCGGUAACGAACGAGACCACUUUCUCCAUUUAAGAAACAGUAGCAGGGAGUCGGCUCAAGGCUGUUUCGGCAGCUUUGGGUUGGUUUUCGCAGGUAGAGUUGUUAAAUUUCGUGGGUGGAUGCGGAGGGGCAACCUGACGUGUUCAUUUGCGAAAGGAGAUGAUUUUCCCUACUGUUAUGCAGCGUUGGGCAAUACCUUCACGCUGCCUUAUGGAGAGACAACAGGUUUAUAAAAGCCUGAGGAAGUGUGGCUAUAACAGGUCAGUGAUGCCCUUCGAUGUUCAGGGCUGCACGCGCGCUACAAUGAUAACAGCAACGAGUAUCUGGGUCGAAAGACUUGGGUAAUCUUUAAUUGUUAUCGUGAUGGGGAUUGACGAUUGUAAAUUCGUCAUGAAAUAGGAAUCCCUAGUAUGUGUAAUUUAUUAAAUUGCACAGAUUUAGUCCCUGCCCUUUGUACACACCGCCCGUCGCUACUACCGAGUGAAUUAUGUCAUGAUGCGCUGGGACUGGACAUUGAACGGGCGUCAAAACUUGUUCGAUGCUAGAAUCAGCGUAAAAUGGCGCAAUUUCGAGGAAGUAAAAGUCGUAACAAGGCCUCCGUAGGUGAACCUGCGGAGG